GAUGAAGAACGCAGCGAAAUGCGAUAAGUAAUGUGAAUUGCAGAAUUCAGUGAAUCAUCGAAUCUUUGAACGCACAUUGCGCCCGCCAGUAUUCUGGCGGGCAUGCCUGUCCGAGCGUCAUUUCAACCCUCGAACCCCUCCGGGGGGUUGGCGUUGGGGAUCGGCCCUUUCACCGGGUGCCGGCCCCUAAAUACAGUGGCGGUCUCGCCGCAGCCUCUCAUGCGCAGUAGUUUGCACACUCGCACCGGGAGCGCGGCGCGUCCUCGUCCGUAAAACACCCCAAACUUCUGAAAUGUUGACCUCGGAUCAGGUAGGAAUACCCGCUGAACUUAAGCAUAUCAAUAAGCGGAGGA
Molecule: unclassified non-coding RNA, 353 nt
Filed under: soil metagenome
Description: partial contains 5.8S ribosomal RNA, internal transcribed spacer 2, and large subunit ribosomal RNA
Rfam family: 5.8S ribosomal RNA (bases 1-120)
Source: RNAcentral